GAAAUGACAACAGCUAGCGCAGAAACAAAAUAAAGAAAAAUGGCUCACCGGAGAACGGGAAGGGCUCGUCGGAAGAAACAACUUCGUGCGUGGCAGGGACCCCUCGACACAGCGACGAGUGCGGCGAGACCUCCAGCUAGGACAUCGGUCCUUUCUCCACGGUGACAAAUGAUGCGACGACGAGCUCUGCAUGGGACCUCUGCUCGACGGCGGGCGCGGCGCCGGGGCGACUGCGUGAUGCAAGGGGUGGUUGCUGCAAGGUUGAGGGACAGAGAGCAGGUGCCGACUGUUUGAAUGGGACUAUGGGAGCGGCUAUAACGGACCAUUGCUAAAUUCUUGCGUCGUGGCCAUAUAGUGCGGUAGAGGUUGUUCACACACGGAAGAGAUGGUGGUGGGCCUGCGGCGCAGCAGCCGAGUGCGGCGCUGGUGCUUCCCCCACGCGUGCUAGCAGGUAGAUAUGAAUAUACAUAUAUGUUUAUAUGAAUAUAUCUAUUUAUAUUAGAUCAUGUCCCGAUAAUUUAAUUUGAUAGUUUUUCCUUCUUUCGAGUGUGAACACCGCCAAGAUCAUUUUAGCAAACAGAAAGAAAAUGUACCUCGGCUUAAAAUAUAAUACACAUAUUUAUUUAAAAUAGCAUCUAUAAAUUCCAUGUUAACUCCCCAUUUAAUAACAAACAAAAGAGGAAAAGAAAGGAAAAGAAAAUGUAACACCUGAAUUUUGAGAGUAGAUAAAAGAAAAUUUUAUACCCUCAAAAUCAGGGUGUUACAAAUCUAACCCCCUUAACAGAAUCUCGCCCUCGAGAUUCAAGAAGAAGCUAGAAAGAAAAACAAGGUUGGUUCACUUCGAUUCAAUUUUAACACUACCAGCUUAACUUGCUGACAUGAUACUUUGACCUUCAGAUAUUCACGAUCAACUGAUGCAACUCUUGAGGAUCUCUUGGACCUAUGGGUUAGGACCCACACACGCUUUCGGUGCGCCACUUUAAUCGUGUUGGUUGAUGCUGUUCGCAUUGUCUUCAUUGGGGUUAGCGGCUAACCCCCUUAACAGGAGCGUUGAUAUGCACUUGGUGAAGAUGUUAUCGAUUUUGAUCUUGACCGAUUAAGAGAGGUUGGUUGGAGGUUGCCAACCGGACAGGUGCAAGAGGGAAGGGUAUAGAUAGGAAAGGUACACAUAGAUGAAUUAAAAAGAGAAAAGGGAGAGCACCCAGAUACCUAACUCUAUGGCACUCAGCUAGUAAACUGAUGUCAUUGCGGACCAAGGACCACAACACAUCAACACUCAUCACAGAGAAGCAAAUCAGUCAUCACACAAAGACAAACAGCACAAGCAUACAACAACAAACAUCUCGUUGCUACACGUUAAUGUUAACUAGAUGGUGGUCUUUCUUGAAAAGGGAAUACCUACUCUCUAAGGCCGUCGAAGGACGAGGAGAGAAACAAGACGUGCAUGAUAGGGGCACGAGCACAACAAAGGAUGGAGUUAAGUGGCCAAGAAAAUGAUACGACCAAGGGCAUAAUGGGUAGAACACCACUCUCGAGUCAAGAUAUAAAAGAGUGGAUUUCAAAAGGCAGACCUAAGAUAAGCAUCAAGGCAAGAUCUAGUGAUUACAAAGGUAAGGGGACUAUCAAACAAAAGCUACGACUGGCAAUGUGGCAGAGGAAAAGGGAACGACCAAGAGUGGGAUGGGUAAGACAACACUCUUGAACUAAAACGAGGGAGGAGGCUUUAAAAUACAGGUACGAGAUAAGCAUCAAGGUAAAGAUCAAGGGAUGACAAGGGUGAGGGUGAUAACGGGCAAAUAAACAAAAAAGGAUGUAUUUUAGACAAAACGUGCAAGGCGUCAAAGGAGGGGAAGCAAUUAAUGGUGAAGUAGAUGAGGCAUUAUCCUUGAGCAGAGAUCGAAAGGAGGAGGUUUUGAAGGGUAGGUUCAAAGUAAGCAUGAAUGUAAGGGUAUAGAUAUUACAAGGGUUAAAGGUGAUAACAGACAAUAAUGUAAGAGAGGAGGUAAAUGGACAUAAGAACAAAAGAUAUAAGUAACAUAAAGGAUGGAGUUAAGACAAUACCUACAAGUGGAAAAGAAGAGGAUACGUCCAAGGGCCAAAUAGGUAAAUUGCCACUCUCAAAUUGAGGUGGAAGAGAGGAGAUUUUUAAUAGUCAGAAUAAAGAUGAGUAUCGACGCAAGAUCGAUGGAUGAAAAGGUGAUGGUGAUAGCAAAUAAAAAACACAGCAAAGGAUGGAAUUAAGACAAAACUUGUAAGGCGACAAGGAGUGAAAAGAAAUCAUGGGAGAGAUAAGUAACUCAUAGCUCUCAAACUAGGUUGAAAGAAAGGGGAGGCUUUUAAAGGAUAAGUUCAAGGUAAGCAUUUAGGUAGAAUACCUCAAUAUCGCAAGGGUCAAAGGCGAUAACAGACAAGGGUAUGAGAGAAAAGAUGAAGGCAUGGGAGAGCCAGUGGUAUGAGUACAACAAAUAAUAGAGUUGCGUCCGAGCUUAUACGCGGUAAAGAAGAGGAUAUAGCCAAGGGUGAGGUAAGGAAAGUACCGCUCUCAAAUUGGGAUAGGAGAUUGGAGAUUUUAGAGAAUGAACAAAGUGUAAUCACCAAGGUAAGAUCUAGAGAUGAGAAAGGUAAAGAUAAUACCCAACCGAAGCACAACAAAGGAUGGAGUUAAAAACCCGCAAGCGACAAGGAAGAGGAUACAACCAAUGGAAAAUGGGUAAAAUACAACUAUAAAAUUGAGAUGGAAGAGAGAACAUUUUAAAGGACAGGUAUAACAUAAGCAUCAAGUAAGAUAUAGAGGUGACAAGGGUAAAGGUGAUAAUGAUGAAAAGCAUAAUCCGUGGACAGAGUUAAGGCAAGAUUCACAAAAUGACUAAGUGGAGAAAACAAUCAAGGAUAAGAUAAGUGAGGUUCCAACAUAAGAGUUGAAGUAAAAAUUCAUUGCCGAAGGAAGUUACAAGGAAACAACGAGAUUAUCACGGUUGUGCAAAAUAAAAUGAUCGCUCAUGGAUCAUUAAGAAAUAGGGGUGGUCAAGGACAUGUUAACUGAAAUGUCUAAGUAGGCAGUAGAAAUUUAGAGGCAAGUAUUUGAAACAAGAGUAUUAAAGGGAUACAAGCAUGUCAAUACCAAAGAACUAGAGUUCGCCAGAUGGUAACAACUUAAUGACGAAAGAGGAAAGAAUCCCAAAAAGACAAGAAGGUUAUGGUCAGGGGGCAUCUACAAAGAUGUUGCAAGCACAAGAGUGAGAUCAGAUCUAAUAGAUUGAGAGAAGUAUAGACCAUACUAGAAUAAAAUACUUUUGGCAAGGGGCAUAUAGGAACACAACAUAGCAUUAGUCGAGGCGACUAAUAUUUUGAAGCGGAAUCAAGGAUGAGGUGAAGUAAUAAUCAAUGAGUCCUUAAAACGGCCAUUGCUACUCUAGGUCAGCGGUCCUACAGUCAGCAAGGCUUUGAUACCACUUAUGUCACACCCGGUUUUGAAGGUAAACCGAAUGCGAACCAUGUACGUGCCAGGAUCAGAAAUUCACGUACAUAGUGAUUACAUAAAUGACUCAUCAUAGCACAAUGCUUCGAAUAACAAUAAAGAGUAAGUAAUAAUAUUACAGACCAGAGCCAUUUACAUAAUAUAAAUCAAAGUACACAUAGUAGAAACGUAGCCAACGUAAACAACCCACCACAGGCAGCUGACUGGGGGAGGUCGCUAGCCUAAUCCUCGAACUCGUCGAAGUCCUGGAACUCCUGGAGAUCUGCCUCGACACCUCCUUCUUUACCUGAGCAUAGAUUGCACCAAAGGCAACCUGGUGUUUUGUGAAAGCAAGGGUGAGUACACAUCAACGUACUCAGCAAAUGUUCCGUUUGGUUGUAGUGGACUAGCUUUAUGUGGGGUUAGGCUCAAGCAGUUGCUUUUAGUUGGUCAGGUAUUUAUUGUUAGUAGAAGCCAGAUUUUAUCAUAAAACCCAAGUUAUAAUCCCAAAAGUACCUCCUGAGAGAGGGAAUACUAGAAUUCAUAAUUAAAGUCACCAUCAUUAACCAUCAUCAUUAAAGUCAUCAUCCAAGGUGUAUCCGGAGUAUCUCUAAUCAAAGAGGAUCCCAAGGCUGCUCUUAACCGUGAGCACGGCUGAUAUAUCAGUUUCACUACCCUCUGCAGAGGUCGCACACUUUACCCAUGAGUCAUGAUUCCCUUUCUGCCCGAGGAGAGCUAAUCCCCGUUGAUCACUCCCUAGGUGGUCUGGCAGGGUAUCACUACGUAGCUGUUACAAAGAUUCCCUAGAGGUCAUAGCCGCCCGUUAGGUUUCUCCAGUUUGAUAAACACAGUACCCCUCCCCGCAGGAGAGUGACUAACCAAAAAGCAAAACAAAAGAACCUCGGCACUCAGCCUCGGCAGAGCAAGCACUGUGCCUGGACCCCAUUGACGGCACGACGGCGAAGCAACUACACCUCUAGUUCCUCUAAUUAAUUAGCUAAGGGCAUCCCAUUUCACCCUCAUGGUUGCACUGUUAUCCCGGGUGGUCUCUCAACGAACAGGUCCUUACGGAGAGGUGCUCGGGAAACGGCCCGAGUCCCCUAAAAUGCCACAAGUAUAUCACCAUCGUAUCCAAAAUAAAAGCAUCGUAUCAUCAAGUAAUUCUCAUCAUGUUCGUUGAUUAGAGUAAAGCGCUAGCAUGUAGUUAACCAUAGUAAUCCGAAAGGUAAAGAAGGAUAAGGUAAAUAGAAAGCUAGUAAAUCCUUAGGUUAUUCAUAGUAUGCGGUACAGUGUAUUAUAAAGUACAUGGGACAUAAUGGGACUGAGGACACUUGCCUUCACCAAACAGAUGCUCAGAAUCUUCAGCCUUGUAGAACUCGAAGAGCUGGGUCAUUUGGUCGCCGAAGCUUGACCGUCGAUUCCUCAAAGCUCAGAAACGAAUCGCGAUCUAAUCGCAACACGAAGCGAAGACGAACAGGCACAAGCAAACAAACAUAUACAUAUGCAUAAGAAUAUUACACCAUACAAGAUAAAAUGUUAUAAAAGCGAGCAAUAUAAAAUAGAGAGCGCUUCUACGGUUACGCGAGAAUAUGAAACACGUCGGUCGGAGCUACGGUCGAUAAGUUAUCGCGUUUAUGCUAAACGAAUAUGAACUAGGACAUUUAAUUCGGCACUAUCAAAUAUAAAUUAUAUCUACUAUUUAGUUUUGACUAACUUACUAUUUUAAUAGUGGAGGAUUAAACGAAUAUUUAAUUAAAUGACAUGAGUGAUUAUAAGCGACCGAUUUAAUAUCGCGCGUGGACAGCACCCGAUAUGCAAAAAAGGCAAUGCGUGCGAAUGACGCGUGAAGACGCGUGACAAUACGCGAAAUAGGGCGCGACCAACACGCGAAACCACGCGUGCGACAACGCGUGCGAACGACGGCGCACGCGGACAGCACGCGAACGGCACGCCAGGAACACUAACCAAUAUCGCCAUUAUAAUAAACAAUUAUUAAUUAAAAAACAUUCGAGUAGACAUAAUCAUAUUAACAUGUAUUUAUAAAGUGCAACUAAAAUUGUAAAUUGGUUCAAGUAGAUUGCUACUUUACUAACUAUCUGAAAAAUAAAUAAUCAAUUAAUUAACUAAAACAUGUAUCACAAUGAAAUAGUGUUACUAAUACGUAAACAACGAGGUUACGAAACAAGUCGAAACAGAUUUGAGACUUAAAAAUAUUUUGAAUAUUUUAUAUCUCACAGAUUUAAUAGAAUGUGGCGUAAUCUAAUUGGUCAAAAUAUGGCCACACGGAGGACCAUAUGAGCAUGGGUGCCGAGGAUCCGUGGGAUUUGGAGCGGACGCUACAACGUGAAACAUCUAUAUUGACCAACCGUAGGGCGCCAUGUGGCCUGGAGACUAGUUUUUUCCACCACCCACGUGAUGCAUGCCGACAUGCAUGGGAGUCAUGCGUGCAUGGGUGGGCGAGCACUCGGCCACCGCUCAAUCGGCCUUUGGCCGCGACCAGCCAUGGCUGGUCGGCCAUGCAUCCAAGGGCUGGGCGUUUCACGGUUCGAUGUCGGCAGCGGAGGUGCGGUUGGCCGGCGAAGGAUAGAAAUGAUAACAGCUAGCGCAGAAACAAAAUAAAGAAAAAUGGCUCACCGGAGAACGGGAAGGGCUCGCCGGAAGAAACAACUUCGUGCGUGGCAGGGACCCCUCGACACAGCGACGAGUGCGGCGAGACCUCCAGCUAGGACAUCGGUCCUUUCUCCACGGUGACAAAUGAUGCGACGACGAGCUCUGCAUGGGACCUCUGCUCGACGGCGGGCGCGGCGCCGGGGCGACUGCGUGAUGCAAGGGGUGGUUGCUGCAAGGUUGAGGGACAGAGAGCAGGUGCCGACUGUUUGAAUGGGACUAUGGGAGCGGCUAUAACGGACCAUUGCUAAAUUCUUGCGUCGUGGCCAUAUAGUGCGGUAGAGGUUGUUCACACACGGAAGAGAUGGUGGUGGGCCUGCGGCGCAGCAGCCGAGUGCGGCGCUGGUGCUUCCCCCACGCGUGCUAGCAGGUAGAUAUGAAUAUACAUAUAUGUUUAUAUGAAUAUAUCUAUUUAUAUUAGAUCAUGUCCCGAUAAUUUAAUUUGAUAGUUUUUCCUUCUUUCGAGUGUGAACACCGCCAAGAUCAUUUUAGCAAACAGAAAGAAAAUGUACCUCGGCUU
This 6644-nucleotide long non-coding RNA is filed under the name Zea mays. Its description in RNAcentral is "long non-coding RNA (ZMAY_LNC005611)". Lineage: Eukaryota; Viridiplantae; Streptophyta; Magnoliopsida; Poales; Poaceae. The record is from RNAcentral.